CUCUUCCUUGGCUCGAGCAAAAUCCCUCCACUCCAACUUCUCCUGUGGGAGGAGUUACCAAAAUGUCCUCACAGUGUUCUCUGUAUUUCAACAGGUCCACUGGACAACGGACAGUGAUUGUGGCCUCAAGAUCCAAUCACUCAGAGAGAGGUGCGAGGGAACUCAGCUCCAGCCCUCUGUGGUGUCAGCCAGUCAUGGAUAAACGAGACUCUGAAGUGAAGCCCAGCACCCCGACACUGCGCAUCAGGAGGAAGGCAGAUGAAUACCUAAAACCCACCCUGGUCUACAAAAACGUGCUGAGCUUUUUACUCGGUAGGCAGCUAGGGGGGCACAAAAACGAUGUGCAUCUGUCACGGUGGCUGUGGAUGUUGACACAAACCACACCAGAGUGGAGCUGGCCUUUGCCAAAAAGUCCUGUGGGUAACCCACCUGUUCUCCUUGGGGAUUAUGAAAAAUCCCAGAAAAUGAUGUGGAUCAACAAAUCCUUCCCCUGAUAGAAGCAUUAAAAUUGAAGC
Molecule: long non-coding RNA, 515 nt
Filed under: Equus caballus (horse)
Lineage: Eukaryota; Metazoa; Chordata; Mammalia; Perissodactyla; Equidae
Description: lncRNA (ENSECAG00000032028.2)
Source: RNAcentral